UUUACAACUGUCCUAGUCUUGAGAGCUUGCCAGAGAAGGAGGAUCUACCCAACUCCCUUUCUGAAUUGGAUAUUAGAGAUUGUGGAAUAAUAAAGGAGAAGUAUGAAAAGGAGGGAGGAGAGCGUUGGCAUACAAUUUGUCACACCCCGAAUGUGUGGAUUGACCACAUUAAGCAGAAAUGAGAUGUUAUGGGUCCCACUUUUGUGGUCAAAUCUUUUUGGUUCGAAAGGCUAAGAGGAUUUUGCGUUUGGAAUGGUGUGAACAGUGGUGGCAAUUUAUUUUUGAGGGUAUUCUGGUAAAUGAUGACUGUGGUCUUUUACCCAAAUGGAGUUCGCAACAAAUAUUUUUUCCUCUUCAGGAGACUUCAUCGGAUUCAGAGGGCAUCAUCACCCGUUCCAAAAAGGGUAUUUCAAAGCCAAAAGUUUUAGAACCUUAGUUGUCCAGGGAAUGUCUUCUUUUGCUCCUGUGUAAAAGGGUUUCAGCAGGAAAAAGAAUAAUAGGUUGCAACAAGCUAACAGUACAAACACAAAUGGAAUUCAAACUCAUUUUUAAAAAGAGUUUCCCAAAGACAUCGCCAAGUAUUUUAAGAAUUGGUAGAUGCUGAUUCUGCUGGUGAGACACUCCCAACCAAUUCAUCAUCAGUGGCAAGGAGAGAUUGCAGUUGAAGAACAAAGUAACUGCAAGAGCUUGUCCUCUCUUAACAGCCAAGUUUUCUAAAUCAGCUUCUUCUGUUUUCUAACCUCCCGGACGUUUAUGGAAAAUCCAAUACCUUUUCAUGAAUGCCUGUAAUUAUCAUAAGGUUUGGAUAAAGCAAUAGGAUACUGUGAUGCUUAUGGAAAGAUGCCAUGUUUGCUUCAAGUCGUCGACAAUAUGGUUUCAAUUUCAAAUCUCUCGCUGAAUUAAAGACUGAUGAAAAAAGAACAAAUUGAACACUUGCCUAAGUUCUCAAAGUGAUAAGAAUCGGAGGAAAGAUCAGUAGAUGAUGAUAAAGAAACAUUCAAAGUUCAAAGAGGGUAUCAUAGUUUGUUGUGUGAUGGCGACUGGGGGGUACGGUUCAGGGGUGAUGUUGUAAUCUGGACAAGCGUUUAUGCACAAGUUGUGCAUUGUAAACCUUAAUCUUUCACUCAUGAUAAAAAGGAACAGCAGCUGCUUUGCAGUCGGAGACGUAGGCAAUAUUGGCCGAAUUUCGUUACCAAA
Long non-coding RNA from Medicago truncatula (barrel medic), 1197 nucleotides. RefSeq lists it as uncharacterized. The record is from RefSeq and is a predicted model, not a curated record. The transcript has 5 exons. Lineage: Eukaryota; Viridiplantae; Streptophyta; Magnoliopsida; Fabales; Fabaceae.